This 402-nucleotide ribosomal RNA is filed under the name uncultured bacterium. Its description in RNAcentral is "bacterial SSU rRNA". It matches the Rfam family "Bacterial small subunit ribosomal RNA", at positions 356 to 773 of the family's 1533-position model. The record is from RNAcentral.
GGGGAAUAUUGCGCAAUGGGGGAAACCCUGACGCAGCAACGCCGCGUGAAGGAUGAAGGUCUUCGGAUUGUAAACUUCUUUGAUUGGGGAAGAAUAAAUGACGGUACCCAAAAAACAAGCCACGGCUAACUACGUGCCAGCAGCCGCGGUAAUACGUAGGUGGCGAGCGUUAUCCGGAAUUACUGGGUGUAAAGGGCGUGUAGGCGGGAGAGCAAGUCAGAUGUGAAAUUCCAGGGCUCAACUCUGGAGCUGCAUCUGAAACUGUUCUUCUUGAGUGCUGGAGAGGAAAGCGGAAUUCCUAGUGUAGCGGUGAAAUGCGUAGAUAUUAGGAGGAACACCAGUGGCGAAGGCGGCUUUCUGGACAGUAACUGACGCUGAGGCGCGAAAGCGUGGGGAGCAAAC